UUUAAAUAACUGAAUUUAAGCAAGAAUUUCUACUUAAGUGUUUUCUACAUCAUUUUUGUGGGACAUCCUGUUAGUUAACUUUCUGUUACUAUUAAAUAAGAUUGACCUCUAUGGUCAGCAAUCAGACAUAAUGGGCCUCGGUUGGGGUCUUAUUCAAAUACAGAAACCCCACCUCAAAGCUAAGGGUAGGAAUGGUAAUGAGUACCAUCAAGGUCUAUUUCAAAAGUAAAAUGCCAUGUGCCUCAGCUGUGAGAAUACCUCUAGCCUACUCCUGUCCCAGAUGUAGGAAAAUGGAAGGUGGGGGUGAACCCAAAGGGAAGUUAUAGGAAGACAAGAGCUCUGAUGCUCUUUACAAUAUAAUCAAGUUAAAAAGAGAAAAUGUCUAUUUUGGCUGGUGAUUUCAGAGAUUUCACUCUGUUUGUUCCUGUUGCUUUGAGGCUUUAGUGGCAUGGUAGAUCAUGGUGGGAACAUGAGGUGGAGGAGGUUGCUCACCUCAUGAUGGCAAGGAAGCAAAAAAAGAAAGAGAGGGAGAAAGGAGCCAGAUUUUCAAUAUCUCCUCCAAGGGCACAACCCAAAAGACCUAACUCCCUCCCACCAGGGCCUCCUCUUAAAGAUUCUUCCACCUUCCAAUAAUGCCAUCGGCUAAUGACCAUGUCUUUAACAAUUGGAUUAUAUAAAUUCUAGUUCUUUCCCUAGUCAAUCCAAGACUAUAACAGAAACAAGCAGGUUUUAGCUUUAGAAAGUGGCUUGGGUUUAGGAAAGAACCUUAAAACAGAUGACGGAUAAAAGGACAUUUGGUCCAUCCAAUGGCUGGGAGAAUUUAUGAACCAAGUACCACAUUACUGAAUCAUACACAUACACAUACACACACACACAAGCAAUAAAGCUCUACACACAGAACACACACACGAUCAUCAGGUGAGAAGAGUGUAGCUGUGAGGCAGUUCAGGGUUUCCCUGUGGUCAUGGAGCGAGUGGUGGGAAGGAGGAGGGGCCUAAUGAGCCCUAAUAAAAUUUUGACAAAAGAUGAUUUAAUGAAAUAUGUGUGGCUUUUUUCCUUCAAGAGGUACAAAGGACUAAAGAACAGUUGUGUUACUUGAUUCUAACAAUGAGUGUCUUCUAUUUUCUAAACCAUAACCAGGAGAAUAGUUCUGACAUGACAGGCAUCUCACAUAAAAGACUUCCUGCCUGUGGGAGCCAAGGGCUAUGUGCAGCAUAUGGGCUUUGAAGCAGGGAGGCUUGGGUGUGAGUUCUGACUGCCCCCUUUCAAGCUGUGUGACCUUUUGCUACUUUCCUCUGUGUCACACAGUGUGGUCCUGAGGACUGAAUGAGCCAAUGGGUUGUAAAGCAAACAGCACAGCACUCAGCAGAGAGUAGGUUGGUUUCUUUUCUGUUCCCACAUAGUCAAAGUCUCCCUUUGAUCUCAGUAACUUCCCAUUGUCUCUGUACCUCUUUGCUUCCAUCCAUAAGAACCUAGGAACUUCUUGGUGGACUAUCCUUAAACGGGCCAUUAUACUUGGUUUCCCGUGUAACUCAUGCAUGUAUCCUUUUCUUGUUUUAUUUCUGCAUCAUCUAGUUUAACGUAUAAAAUCCAGAGACUAUUGGGUUUACUUGUUCAAUAUAUAAAACUGUUUAUUCUGGUUUUGAGAAACUGAUGUGACUCCAUUUUUGAAAAUAAAUAAAUAACAGCAGCUUCUACCUCAAGGCCUGUCCUAAGGAAGGGGGCGUGACACUUGUCCUUGGAAAAACCCACAGAGCCUUUCUAGGCACAUACCCACCCUGCUUAGUUGUUUGUCUGCAAAUAACAGGAUAAAUAUGCGAUGCCAGGUGUCCCUGACUCAGUUAGGCUAGGUGAAGACCCAUAGCAACCCCUUAGCAACCACCAAUCAGCAUGAGACAGGGAAAAUACCUGGGAUGCCAGAUGACCCCCCAGUAGUUUAUGGUGGUUGAUAACAUGUUGGGAAACCAUGUAGUUUAGCACAUACACCCCUCGUGGCCUAAACCAAUCAGUUCAAAGGAAUCCCCCUCUUGUACUAACCAAUCACCCCUACCCAACUUGUUCCCGCCAGUGAAUGUGCUAAUCAAUGUUAAGAGUUGUUGUUUGAUUUUCCCACAGUGUGGAAUGAUUUGCUGUGUGAUGUUGUGAUGCAUAGAGUAUCCCCCCAAAACCUGUAAAAUCUCACUGAACAAAGGACGGGGACUCACUCCCUGGGACCGCUGCGUCGGGAACGGUUGUUAAGUCCAGGCUUGAGUUUGCAAUAAAGACUCUUGUAUGAUUGCAUCGAAUUUGGCUCCUGGAGGUCUAUUGGGGUCCCGUGAAUCUGGCAUUACAAUUUAACUCUAUGCAAGAUACUAUGGGAGAUAAAAGAUGAACAAAAUAGAAAUUACCCCUGCUUUCAAUGGGCUGUUAUUUUAGAAAUAGAGCAACAUGUCUCCAUAUAACUGGCCUGUAGGGAUAAAGUUUCUCCUAGUGCUAUAGCCAUUCAGAAGAGGGAGACAUCCUUUCUAAGGCAUUCAUCAAAAACAGUCUCAGACCCAAGGAUACAGAUGAGUCGGCCUGCAGAUUAGGCAGGCAAGGGUAGAUUAGGCCGCUGCAGUUGGAUUCUUUUUAAUAUCACAAUGACAAAUAAACAUGAUCAUAUACAGUGAAUAAAUAGCUGAGGAUUGUGCAUGGCUGGAAUAUAAGAUCUUCAUAUGUGGGAGGUUUGGUUGGAAAAAGGGGCUGAGCACAGACUGCCAGGAGCCAUGAAUAACAGUGACAGGAGAAAUAAGCAGUUCUCUGUAGUUGCAUGGAGAGGUUAUAUGAUGAAAUGUUUUCCUUACAAACAAUUGAUCUACUCUGAGCGAGCAAUUUGGGUUGGAAAGGGAAGCUCCAAGAAGGAUGGAAACUAUUUGGAAGACUAUGGUAAUGGUCCAGGAUUGAGGUCACAGGAGCUGAAUUGGGGCACUAGCAAUGAAAUGGAAAGGAAAGGAAAUGGAUGGAUAAUUUCAGACGUGGCUGAGGAUGAACAAAUAGAAUCUGCCAACUGAUUCAUUCUGUAGAGUUCUGCAUUUGCAUCAUCCAAGCGAGGGCACCCAUUAACUUCUCAGCUAAAGUUCCUUCUCAUCUAGCAUUUUAUUACUGAUCGGUUCUCAGUCCAGUCAUCCCCUUCUCUCUCCACCAGUAUAAUUAUAUGCAAUUAUGCAUCAAGUUUUUAUUACUUGAUGUAACACGGUUAGCCCAUAACAUAUGGGUCAUUCUCCUGUCACUAACAUGACAUCAGACUUCCCUGAAUUUCCUUAUAAUACUUUGAAAAUCUCCACAAAGGACUCACGUUAAACACUCUAAACUCUAAUAUUUUUCCCUUGAGCCAGGAGCCUAACACCUAGUAUACACUGUUCAAGGAUUUGAAACCACAAGCAUGUUGUAUGUCCUUUCUGCAACUGCUGGCAUAUGUGUGUGGGGGGGUGUAUUUGUACUACAGUCUGACACUUUCAGGCACUGGAUCCACAAGGAUCCACAACAGGAAGCAGCCUCUUCAUGCUGCGUCUUAGGCUCUUUCCCCAGAUGCAAGAUCCUUUGUGGUUAAGAGUGGAAAGGGGACAUUGAAAAUGGGACCACAAGACAAGUGAGAGAGAGAGG
This 3621-nucleotide long non-coding RNA is filed under the name Marmota monax (woodchuck). Lineage: Eukaryota; Metazoa; Chordata; Mammalia; Rodentia; Sciuridae. The record is from RNAcentral.